GGGUUGUGAGGUUAAGCGACUAAGCGUACACGGUGGAUGCCCUGGCAGUCAGAGGCGAUGAAGGACGUGCUAAUCUGCGAUAAGCGUCGGUAAGGUGAUAUGAACCGUUAUAACCGGCGAUUUCCGAAUGGGGAAACCCAGUGUGAUUCGUCACACUAUCAUUAACUGAAUCCAUAGGUUAAUGAGGCGAACCGGGGGAACUGAAACAUCUAAGUACCCCGAGGAAAAGAAAUCAACCGAGAUUCCCCCAGUAGCGGCGAGCGAACGGGGAGCAGCCCAGAGCCUGAAUCAGUGUGUGUGUUAGUGGAAGCGUCUGGAAAGGCGCGCGAUACAGGGUGACAGCCCCGUACACAAAAAUGCACAUACUGUGAGCUCGAUGAGUAGGGCGGGACACGUGGUAUCCUGUCUGAAUAUGGGGGGACCAUCCUCCAAGGCUAAAUACUCCUGACUGACCGAUAGUGAACCAGUACCGUGAGGGAAAGGCGAAAAGAACCCCGGCGAGGGGAGUGAAAAAGAACCUGAAACCGUGUACGUACAAGCAGUGGGAGCACGCUUAGGCGUGUGACUGCGUACCUUUUGUAUAAUGGGUCAGCGACUUAUAUUCUGUAGCAAGGUUAACCGAAUAGGGGAGCCGAAGGGAAACCGAGUCUUAACUGGGCGUUAAGUUGCAGGGUAUAGACCCGAAACCCGGUGAUCUAGCAUGGGCAGGUUGAAGGUUGGGUAACACUAACUGGAGGACCGAACCGACUAAUGUUGAAAAUUAG
This 764-nucleotide ribosomal RNA is filed under the name Escherichia coli. RNAcentral's name for it is "bacterial LSU rRNA". It matches the Rfam family "Bacterial large subunit ribosomal RNA", at positions 1 to 800 of the family's 2925-position model. Lineage: Bacteria; Pseudomonadati; Pseudomonadota; Gammaproteobacteria; Enterobacterales; Enterobacteriaceae. The record is from RNAcentral.